Molecule: non-coding RNA, 1630 nt
Organism: Pelodiscus sinensis (Chinese soft-shelled turtle)
Lineage: Eukaryota; Metazoa; Chordata; Testudines; Trionychidae
Source: RefSeq, a predicted model, not a curated record
GCCAGAGCAGGAUGCUGCCAGCCUGCAGAAUGUGUUGGAGCAGGAUGCUGCCAGUCCACAUAGCUUAGUAAUGGGGAAAAAAUGUGUAGAUAUUUGCAGUAGCUCUCAAGCCACUUUAGAAAAUGAUCAUUGUGAAUACAAGGCAAUAUUCCAAAGUUGUAGAAAAACAAAAGAAAAGGAUGAAGAUGCAUGUAUGAGCUGCAAAUUGUAUGGCCCAAUUACUAAAUAUGCUAUAUCUGAACUGAAGAAAACAGAAGAAUCUACACUGCCUCAUCACAAAUGGCUGUCAUCGCAUUUCCUAAUAUCUUACUCAUAAGGGUAACCAUGGAAACUCAGGCUCUACUUCUGAUGCUAGUGGGUGUCGCCCCACUCCUUAUGCAGUUUCUAUCCAGAAAUAAAAUGGUUUCAAAAGGAAGAUACUGUUACCAUAAAGAUAAAAAUAAGAAAUAUACAUGACCAUAAAUGUGAAUUUUUCAGAGACGAGAUUGUUUUCAGUGCAUUUUCAGGAGGCAAAUUUUAUGUGGCUGAGAUGAAACUGCAUGCAAACAUACAUAAAGAAAAGUCUGUGUGUGUGAUUAAGAAUGAAGAACCUAUGAUUAUCCUUGCAAAAGACAAGAAGGAAUUUUGGUGCCAUCUACUAAAGCAUAAGAAUCCUAAUGUGUCUCUUGAUUUUGAACACUGGGAGGAUUUAGAAGAUAAAAGCCCCUUUCCUGUUGGUGUGAAAAAAGCACAUCGUGCUGUAUCAUUGAUAACAGAAGAAAUGGAAGAAUCUUCAGAAUAUAGUGGAACAGAGAGUGAUGACUAGUCUGCAAAUAAAUCUCUACCAAUUCCUUUUCUUAUUAAAGAUUGUUUUGCCACCCUUAUUCACAUGAGUUUUUCCUUUAAAACGCUAUGGAACUACUUGUAGAGUUUAAGGGGUGCAGGAUGAAGUCUUCAAUUUUUAGUAGAAUAAUAGUGAACAGAGCCCUUCAUUGUGUUAAAAUAUGUUUGAUUUAUUUUUGGUGACUGGAAUUUGAAAUAUUUUAUGCCAUGCAAAAAGGUUGUUAUUUAUGUUCCUCUCAAUAUUUUUCUUUAAAAUAGCUUUGACACUUAUUGAUGGUAUAUUGUAUAAAAGCUAUGCUGCCCAGAUAGGGAAAAAAAAAGAAAAGUAAUAUAUUGGAUUUGGGGAGCAAAUGGUUCUUUUAGAAAAUUGGUAAUAGAGUGCAGAACUUUUGGGUCACUAAUUCAUGUUUAGUCUGUGUAAACAAUUAUUAAAAAUUGUUGCCAUGUUAUGGCAUCAGUGAAAUUAAGUGCUGAUUCUAAGUCCAAUUCUUAGUGAACUGAUACUGUUUGUGUGUGUCAGAAUCAAUUUCACUUUGGCACUAAUUGGUAUGUUUGCUAACAGUUCUGCAUCAAGGUCAGGCUUUUAAAGGGGCCUGGAGACACAACUAACCUGGCAAGCCUCCUUUCAGAUUAGAGUUAAGGUAUAUUGAGGUACAGAUUGUACCUCCUGGUCCAACUCCUUCAGAACCUGACCUGAGUUCAGGGAUUUUCCUGGAUCAGGCAAGGUAAUUUCUGGUCCCUCCUGCCAUCAGCCCCGCCCCAGCCCUGGUCUGACUGCUAGCCUCCCAACCGCGUCUGUUCCCCCACC